UUUACCUGGAUAACCGUGGUAAUUCUAGAGCUAAUACAUGCUAAAAACCCCGACUUCGGAAGGGGUGUAUUUAUUAGAUAAAAAACCAAUGCCCUUCGGGGCUCCUUGGUGAUUCAUAAUAACUCAACGAAUCGCAUGGCCUUGCGCCGGCGAUGGUUCAUUCAAAUUUCUGCCCUAUCAACUUUCGAUGGUAGGGUUUUUGCCUACCAUGGUCUCAACGGGUAACGGGGAAUUAGGGUUCUAUUCCGGAGAGGGAGCCUGAGAAACGGCUACCACAUCCAAGGAAGGCAGCAGGCGCGCAAAUUACCCAAUCCCAAUACGGGGAGGUAGUGACAAUAAAUACUGAUACAGGGCUCUUUCGGGUCUUGUAAUUGGAAUGAGUACAAUCUAAAUCCCUUAACGAGGAACAAUUGGAGGGCAAGUCUGGUGAAACUCACGUUCCGCUGACGCCAGACAAGUCCGGGAUGCUCUUUAGGUCCCAUUUGAGUGGGUAGUUCAACUAUCUGCGAGAUGAUUGGUACGGGGAAUGUUCGGUCUAUGAAUUCAGCAUGGCCGCUCACCCCGUGGUGCUGGCGGCGGUCGAGUCAUCCUCGACCGUUGCGGCUCCGUAACGCACGCCAGAUCAUCGCUGUUCUCGACCAGUUUUCUGGCAGGCACAGUUCAGGUACGUGCUAAUCCCCACCCGGAAGGGAGUCUCACCUGUGGCAGGUGUGUUGGGAUAGGAGGGUACCGCGAUCCACCUCGGACAGGUGCGGUGUCGGGUACCCCGUUAGAUUUGAGGCUGAUGACGAGGUUCCGAUGGAACCUUCUGCAGCCAAUCAUCAAAGCUGACGUUGGAGGUUGUCCGGUUCCCCGGGCCGCCAAAGAUCCUUAUAAGAUGGCCAGCAGCCGCGGUAAUUCCAGCUCCAAUAGCGUAUAUUAAAGUUGUUGCAGUUAAAAAGCUCGUAGUUGAACCUUGGGUCUGGCUGAUCUGUCUUCCUAAACGUUGUACGGAUUCGGUCGGACCUUUCCUUCUGGGGAAACCUAUGCCCUUUAUUGGGUGUAGUGGGGAACCAGGACUUUUACCUUGAAAAAAUUAGAGUGUUCAAAGCAGGCCUUUGCUCGAAUACAUUAGCAUGGAAUAAUAAAAUAGGACAGUGGUUCUAUUUUGUUGGUUUCUAGGACCGCUGUAAUGAUUAAUAGGGAUAGUCGGGGGCGUCAGUAUUCAAUUGUCAGAGGUGAAAUUCUUGGAUUUAUUGAAGACUAACUAUUGCGAAAGCAUUCGCCAAGGAUGUUUUCAUUAAUCAGUGAACGAAAGUUAGGGGAUCGAAGACGAUUUUGGGGUUGGUCGUCCAUAGCAAAACUAGUCCCACGGGGCAACACCGUCCAGUUGAGGAGUUCCCAGAUCGGGUAAUCCACAGCCAAGUCCAACGUCAAACGGGUGACCGCGGAUGCAGUUUACAGACUGUCUGACGGUGGGCCGGGGUCGACCGAGACCCGGUUUAAGAUAUAGCCGGUCCGGCGCGUCAACGCGUCCGGGAUCCACGCAGAUACCGUCGUAGUCUUAACCAUAAACUAUGCCGACUAGGGAUCGGACGGUGUUUUUUUAUAUGACCCGUUCGGCACCUUACGAGAAAUCAAAGUUUUUGGGCUCUGGGGGGAGUAUGGUCGCAAGGCUGAAACUUAAAGAAAUUGACGGAAGGGCACCACAAGGCGUAAGCAGAGAAGCCACUCCGCGCCUGAAUAAUGACCUCAUUACUGAGCUGUGGAACCAUGUCCUGACUGUCGUCAAAAGUCAUUAGAAGUACACGGCGCAAUUCAAGCUGUGUGCAAUACACCUAGAUUGCGGGGAACCUCUUUUAAAGGUGACAAGUACCUCCAGGCUGUCGAAAGACACCUGCACGGUCACAAUUUUGUCAACUACUUCGUCGAAGGGUCACCCGCAGCCUGUUACCUAAAGCAGUAAUAGCCACGGUUUCAAGUUCAGAGAUUAGAUAGGUGUGGAAGAGCCAAGUGGUCAACGUGCAUGAUUCAUGUGUCCAUUAUAACACAGCAGAACAGGAGACAUGAUUGGUGGGCAUGUGGAGAGUUUGCGUGGUGUGCGAGGGAGACAUAGAUGUCACACGGGCAGGGGUUGAUCUGCUGAUCCUUCUGCCCGCAUCUGAAAUGAGCCGGAAUGUUCUGGAACCGUCUUGAUGAGAUUCUAUAUGCUCUCUCCUACACCGCAUAGGCGCUGCCUUGCUAUCCUCACCCCUAUUCAUGCCUGUUCUCGCAACAAUGACUCAUGUUAUUACUGCGAUAAGAUUCUUUUAAGCUAUAAUCCAUUCAGUUGUUACAAACAGUUGCAGAUAAUCUGGGAGCCUGCGGCUUAAUUUGACUCAACACGGGAAAACUCACCAGGUUAACCUUUGACCGUUACACGUCUGGGCCUGGUCUUGGCAGUGCUGGUUUAUCCAGUGCAACACCAGCUGGUACAGGGGACGCCUCGAAGCCGAUCCUGUAGCGAGUCCAUUAACGUGGACCGUUGCAACGCACAGCAAGCGGUGGGCUGUUCACAAGGAAUCACAGCUAUGGUAUAUGCUAAUCUCAUGGGACAUCCAUGCUCUCCUGUUCAGAUCACUGAAGCAGAGGAGGUUUCCCCGCGCAGGGGAAACAGUCGAGUCGUCUGAAGGCUCCGGCAUGUUACAUGUUGGGCUGCAGAGGACUUGAACUCAAUGCCAGACAUAAGAAGGAUUGACAGAUUGAGAGCUCUUUCUUGAUUUUAUGGGUGGUGGUGCAUGGCCGUUCUUAGUUGGUGGAGUGAUUUGUCUGCUUAAUUGCGUUAACGAACGAGACCUUGACCUGCUAAAUAGCCCGUUCGACUUUGGUUGGACGCUGGCUUCUUAGAGGGACUUUUGGCUCAAGCCAAUGGAAGUACGAGGCAAUAACAGGUCGACCUUCACACAGGCCUGUUGAUAGAAAUUGGUCAGUAAAGCUGGCCUGCCACUGGUACAGAGAAAGCCGAAUCACGGUUGAUUCUGUGGCGAGUUGAUCUCCAACCGCUGAAACGCGCGCAAAGUGGCGGAUCCGUGCCAAGUCCGGAUCUCAGGUACGUGCUUAAUCUCCAGUGCCCAUUGGAGUGGAAUGUUAGUCGUUUGACGAGCAGUUCCUGAACCAGCAAGCCUAGAUAAAGAUACACAUUAGGGAUAAGAACUCUAUAAAGAUGUCAACGAUUCCUAUGUGUGUCAAGAUAUGCUUGUUGUGACCAAGAAAUGCUGUGAUGCCCUUAGAUGUUCUGGGCCGCACGCGCGCUACACUGACAGAGCCAGCGAGUACAUCACCUUGGCCGAAAGGUCUGGGUAAUCUUGUUAAACUCUGUCGUGCUGGGGAUAGAGCAUUGCAAUUAUUGCUCUUCAACGAGGAAUGCCUAGUAAGCGCAAGUCAUCAGCUUGCGUUGACUACGUCCCUGCCCUUUGAUCUAUGUGUGGAUGGUGGUGUGGGACUUUUUGACCGGAAGAGAAACACACCCCCGUACAAGGGGCAUAACGGGCUGCUGAAAGGAAGCCCAGAGUUAGGAUUGGGGGCAACUCUGAUCUCUAACGACACCACAGAAAUUGUCGGGAAAGAGCUGGUCUGUUUCCAGUUCUAUCCGCAGCUGUAUAAUUCACCUCAUACUGCUCACAGACUAAUCAGUGGUGGGCCUCCGUGAUGACCGAGGUUUUAGUUAUAGUCGGUCAGCUCUGAUCCUGGAGUUGUGCCUAAAGUUGUACACACCGCCCGUCGCUACUACCGAUUGAAUGGCUCAGUGAGGCCUUGGGACUGGCUCAGAGAGGUCGGCAACGACCACUCAGAGCCGGAAACUUGGUCAAACUUGGUCAUUUAGAGGAAG
This 3847-nucleotide ribosomal RNA is filed under the name Henrica melaspora. RNAcentral describes it as "partial 18S ribosomal RNA". The stretch from base 1 to 1780 matches the Rfam family "Eukaryotic small subunit ribosomal RNA". Lineage: Eukaryota; Fungi; Ascomycota; Eurotiomycetes; Verrucariales; Verrucariaceae. The record is from RNAcentral.